Molecule: long non-coding RNA, 237 nt
Filed under: Cervus elaphus hippelaphus
Lineage: Eukaryota; Metazoa; Chordata; Mammalia; Artiodactyla; Cervidae
Rfam family: 7SK RNA
About the family: 7SK was discovered as an abundant small nuclear RNA in the mid-70s but a possible function has only recently been suggested.
Source: RNAcentral
GGAUGUGAGGGCGAUCUGGUUGCGACAUCUGUCACCCCAUUGAUCGCCAGGGUUGAUUCGGCUGAUCUGGCUGGCUAGGCGGGUGUCCCCUUCCUCCCUCACCGCUCCAUGUGCGUCCCUCCCGAAGCUGCGCGCUCGGUCGAAGAGGACGACCAUCCCCGAUAGAGGAGGACCGGUCUUCGGUCAAGGGUAUACGAGUAGCUGCGCUCCCCUGCUAGAACCUCCAAACAAGCUCUC